This 428-nucleotide ribosomal RNA is filed under the name Bacteroidota bacterium. RNAcentral's name for it is "Bacteroidetes bacterium partial 16S ribosomal RNA". It matches the Rfam family "Bacterial small subunit ribosomal RNA", at positions 355 to 776 of the family's 1533-position model. The record is from RNAcentral. Lineage: Bacteria; Pseudomonadati; Bacteroidota.
UAGGGAAUCUUCGGCAAUGGGGGGAACCCUGACCGAGCAACGCCGCGUGAGUGAAGAAGGAUUUCGGUUCGUAAAACUCUGUUGUUAGAGAAGAACAGCGCAUAGAGUAACUGUUAUGCGUGUGACGGUAUCUAACCAGAAAGCCACGGCUAACUACGUGCCAGCAGCCGCGGUAAUACGUAGGUCCCGAGCGUUGUCCGGAUUUAUUGGGCGUAAAGCGAGCGCAGGCGGUUAGAAAAGUCUGAAGUGAAAGGCAGUGGCUCAACCAUUGUAGGCUUUGGAAACUGUUUAACUUGAGUGCAGAAGGGGAGAGUGGAAUUCCAUGUGUAGCGGUGAAAUGCGUAGAUAUAUGGAGGAACACCGGUGGCGAAAGCGGCUCUCUGGUCUGUAACUGACGCGGAGGCUCGAAAGCGUGGGGAGCGAACAGG